GAUGAACGCUGGCGGCGUGCCUAAUACAUGCAAGUCGAACGCAUUGAGAGAAGUGCUUGCACUUUUCAAUUUGAGUGGCGAACGGGUGAGUAACACGUGGGCAACCUACCUGAUAGCGGGGGAUAACGAGUGGAAACAUUCGCUAAUACCGCAUAACAAUAGAGAAGGCAUCUUCUUUAUUUAAAAGGCGCUUUCAAGCGUCACUAUCAGAUGGGCCCGCGGUGCAUUAAUUAGUUGGUGGGGUGAAGGCCUACCAAGACGAUGAUGCAUAGCCGAGUUGAGAGACUGAUCGGCCACAUUGGGACUGAGACACGGCCCAAACUCCUACGGGAGGCUGCAGUAGGGAAUCUUCCACAAUGGACGAAAGUCUGAUGGAGCAACGCCGCGUGUGUGAUGAAGGCUUUCGGGUCGUAAAGCACUGUUGUAUGGGAAGAAAUGCUAGGCUAGGAAAUGAGCUUAGUUUGACGGUACCGUACCGGAAAGGGACGGCUAAAUACGUGCCAGCCGCCGCAGUAA
This 516-nucleotide ribosomal RNA is filed under the name uncultured bacterium. RNAcentral describes it as "partial 16S ribosomal RNA". It matches the Rfam family "Bacterial small subunit ribosomal RNA", at positions 28 to 523 of the family's 1533-position model. The record is from RNAcentral.